GACGAACGCUGGCGGCGUGCUUAACACAUGCAAGUCGAACGGAAAGGCCCUGCUUUUGUGGGGUGCUCGAGUGGCGAACGGGUGAGUAACACGUGAGUAACCUGCCCUUGACUUUGGGAUAACUUCAGGAAACUGGUGCUAAUACCGGAUAGGAGCUCCUGCUGCAUGGUGGGGGUUGGAACGUUUCGGCGGUUGGGGAUGGACUCGCGGCUUAUCAGCUUGUUGGUGGGGUAGUGGCUUACCAAGGCUUUGACGGGUAGCCGGCCUGAGAGGGUGACCGGCCAAAUUGGGACUGAGAUACGGCCCAGACUCCUACGGGAGGCAGCAGUGGGGAAUAUUGCACAAUGGGCGGAAGCCUGAUGCAGCAACGCCGCGUGCGGGAUGACGGCCUUCGGGUUGUAAACCGCUUUCGCCUGUGACGAAGCGUGAGUGACGGUAAUGGGUAAAGAAGCACCGGCUAACUACGUGCCAGCCGCCGCAGUAA
This 484-nucleotide ribosomal RNA is filed under the name uncultured bacterium. Its description in RNAcentral is "partial 16S ribosomal RNA". It matches the Rfam family "Bacterial small subunit ribosomal RNA", at positions 28 to 523 of the family's 1533-position model. The record is from RNAcentral.